Molecule: long non-coding RNA, 522 nt
Organism: Dalotia coriaria
Lineage: Eukaryota; Metazoa; Arthropoda; Insecta; Coleoptera; Staphylinidae
Exons: 2
Source: RefSeq, a predicted model, not a curated record
UUCGUUUCUUUUUGUACAAGAUGUUAAGACCAUUAACAAAAGUGGUGAUUGUUUGUGUGGUUGUUUUGUGUCUUACGCAAACAGUAAAAUCGCUUCCAAAGCUUCCAAACUUAUUGUGGCCAUGGGUAACUAAUACACGAAAAGGUGUAACACCAACUGUUGUCGAAUCUGUUGAUUCAUCUGAUUCUUCGUUAGCAACUAUACCAGAUAGCCCAACAAUUGAAAAAAUUCCGCCUGUAGUUGGAAGUACAGCAUUAAAACCUAAAUCGAGCUCUUUUGUUACUCGUUUUACUGGAUAUAUUUAUGAUGUCGCAAAGUUGAUCUUACUUUCUACAUCAUUCUUAGCAUUUUUGUUUUCUACAGUGUUAUACAUAUUUUAUUAAUCAACUAGUGUGAUUUGUGUAGUACCUAUAGGUUGCAUACACAGCACUCAGAAUGGAAAAGUAGUUGAAUAAGUAAAAAUAAUGAAUUUAUUAUAUGGUAAUAAAUAAACAUUGAUUUUGUUGUUAAAACGUCAAAAAA